CGGGCCUGGUUUUCGGAUCAGGUCAGUGGCGUAAGGGUGAGUAAGGCGACGGCAACCAACCCCAUGGUUGGGCAUAGCCGCGGGAAACUGCGGGUAAUUCCCAGCGAUGUUCGUGCCGGGCAUCCGGUGCGAACCAAAGUUUCGGCGCCGUGGGACGGGCCGUCGUGGUAUUAGGUCGUUGGCGGGGUAAUGGCCCACCAAGCCUUUGAUGCCUACCGGGCGUGCGAGCGUGGCCCGGCACACUGGGACUGAGAUACUGCCCAGACUCCUACGGGAGGCUGCAGUCGAGAAUCUUCGGCAAUGGGCGCAAGCCUGACCGAGCGACGCCGCGUGGAGGAUGAAGGCCUUCGGGUUGUAAACUCCUGUCGAGGGGGAGGAAGGCGCAAGCUUGACCUAUCCCUGGAGGAAGCACGGGCUAAGUUCGUGCCAGCAGCCGCGGUAAUACGAACCGUGCUAACGUUAUUCGGAAUCACUGGGCUUAAAGCGCGUGUAGGCGGAUGGGGACGUCGGUUGCUGAAAGCCCCCGGCUCA
This 531-nucleotide ribosomal RNA is filed under the name uncultured Planctomycetota bacterium. RNAcentral describes it as "bacterial SSU rRNA". It matches the Rfam family "Bacterial small subunit ribosomal RNA", at positions 67 to 611 of the family's 1533-position model. The record is from RNAcentral. Lineage: Bacteria; Pseudomonadati; Planctomycetota.